RNAcentral lists this ribosomal RNA (2895 nucleotides) under Escherichia coli. RNAcentral's name for it is "partial 23S ribosomal RNA". It matches the Rfam family "Bacterial large subunit ribosomal RNA". The record is from RNAcentral. Lineage: Bacteria; Pseudomonadati; Pseudomonadota; Gammaproteobacteria; Enterobacterales; Enterobacteriaceae.
GGUUAAGCGACUAAGCGUACACGGUGGAUGCCCUGGCAGUCAGAGGCGAUGAAGGACGUGCUAAUCUGCGAUAAGCGUCGGUAAGGUGAUAUGAACCGUUAUAACCGGCGAUUUCCGAAUGGGGAAACCCAGUGUGAUUCGUCACACUAUCAUUAACUGAAUCCAUAGGUUAAUGAGGCGAACCGGGGGAACUGAAACAUCUAAGUACCCCGAGGAAAAGAAAUCAACCGAGAUUCCCCCAGUAGCGGCGAGCGAACGGGGAGCAGCCCAGAGCCUGAAUCAGUGUGUGUGUUAGUGGAAGCGUCUGGAAAGGCGCGCGAUACAGGGUGACAGCCCCGUACACAAAAAUGCACAUACUGUGAGCUCGAUGAGUAGGGCGGGACACGUGGUAUCCUGUCUGAAUAUGGGGGGACCAUCCUCCAAGGCUAAAUACUCCUGACUGACCGAUAGUGAACCAGUACCGUGAGGGAAAGGCGAAAAGAACCCCGGCGAGGGGAGUGAAAAAGAACCUGAAACCGUGUACGUACAAGCAGUGGGAGCACGCUUAGGCGUGUGACUGCGUACCUUUUGUAUAAUGGGUCAGCGACUUAUAUUCUGUAGCAAGGUUAACCGAAUAGGGGAGCCGAAGGGAAACCGAGUCUUAACUGGGCGUUAAGUUGCAGGGUAUAGACCCGAAACCCGGUGAUCUAGCCAUGGGCAGGUUGAAGGUUGGGUAACACUAACUGGAGGACCGAACCGACUAAUGUUGAAAAAUUAGCGGAUGACUUGUGGCUGGGGGUGAAAGGCCAAUCAAACCGGGAGAUAGCUGGUUCUCCCCGAAAGCUAUUUAGGUAGCGCCUCGUGAAUUCAUCUCCGGGGGUAGAGCACUGUUUCGGCAAGGGGGUCAUCCCGACUUACCAACCCGAUGCAAACUGCGAAUACCGGAGAAUGUUAUCACGGGAGACACACGGCGGGUGCUAACGUCCGUCGUGAAGAGGGAAACAACCCAGACCGCCAGCUAAGGUCCCAAAGUCAUGGUUAAGUGGGAAACGAUGUGGGAAGGCCCAGACAGCCAGGAUGUUGGCUUAGAAGCAGCCAUCAUUUAAAGAAAGCGUAAUAGCUCACUGGUCGAGUCGGCCUGCGCGGAAGAUGUAACGGGGCUAAACCAUGCACCGAAGCUGCGGCAGCGACGCUGAUGCGUUGUUGGGUAGGGGAGCGUUCUGUAAGCCUGUGAAGGUGUGCUGUGAGGCAUGCUGGAGGUAUCAGAAGUGCGAAUGCUGACAUAAGUAACGAUAAAGCGGGUGAAAAGCCCGCUCGCCGGAAGACCAAGGGUUCCUGUCCAACGUUAAUCGGGGCAGGGUGAGUCGACCCCUAAGGCGAGGCCGAAAGGCGUAGUCGAUGGGAAACAGGUUAAUAUUCCUGUACUUGGUGUUACUGCGAAGGGGGGACGGAGAAGGCUAUGUUGGCCGGGCGACGGUUGUCCCGGUUUAAGCGUGUAGGCUGGUUUUCCAGGCAAAUCCGGAAAAUCAAGGCUGAGGCGUGAUGACGAGGCACUACGGUGCUGAAGCAACAAAUGCCCUGCUUCCAGGAAAAGCCUCUAAGCAUCAGGUAACAUCAAAUCGUACCCCAAACCGACACAGGUGGUCAGGUAGAGAAUACCAAGGCGCUUGAGAGAACUCGGGUGAAGGAACUAGGCAAAAUGGUGCCGUAACUUCGGGAGAAGGCACGCUGAUAUGUAGGUGAAGCGACUUGCUCGUGGAGCUGAAAUCAGUCGAAGAUACCAGCUGGCUGCAACUGUUUAUUAAAAACACAGCACUGUGCAAACACGAAAGUGGACGUAUACGGUGUGACGCCUGCCCGGUGCCGGAAGGUUAAUUGAUGGGGUCAGCGCAAGCGAAGCUCUUGAUCGAAGCCCCGGUAAACGGCGGCCGUAACUAUAACGGUCCUAAGGUAGCGAAAUUCCUUGUCGGGUAAGUUCCGACCUGCACGAAUGGCGUAAUGAUGGCCAGGCUGUCUCCACCCGAGACUCAGUGAAAUUGAACUCGCUGUGAAGAUGCAGUGUACCCGCGGCAAGACGGAAAGACCCCGUGAACCUUUACUAUAGCUUGACACUGAACAUUGAGCCUUGAUGUGUAGGAUAGGUGGGAGGCUUUGAAGUGUGGACGCCAGUCUGCAUGGAGCCGGCCUUGAAAUACCACCCUUUAAUGUUUGAUGUUCUAACGUUGACCCGUGAUCCGGGUUGCGGACAGUGUCUGGUGGGUAGUUUGACUGGGGCGGUCUCCUCCUAAAGAGUAACGGAGGAGCACGAAGGUUGGCUAAUCCUGGUCGGACAUCAGGAGGUUAGUGCAAUGGCAUAAGCCAGCUUGACUGCGAGCGUGACGGCGCGAGCAGGUGCGAAAGCAGGUCAUAGUGAUCCGGUGGUUCUGAAUGGAAGGGCCAUCGCUCAACGGAUAAAAGGUACUCCGGGGAUAACAGGCUGAUACCGCCCAAGAGUUCAUAUCGACGGCGGUGUUUGGCACCUCGAUGUCGGCUCAUCACAUCCUGGGGCUGAAGUAGGUCCCAAGGGUAUGGCUGUUCGCCAUUUAAAGUGGUACGCGAGCUGGGUUUAGAACGUCGUGAGACAGUUCGGUCCCUAUCUGCCGUGGGCGCUGGAGAACUGAGGGGGGCUGCUCCUAGUACGAGAGGACCGGAGUGGACGCAUCACUGGUGUUCGGGUUGUCAUGCCAAUGGCACUGCCCGGUAGCUAAAUGCGGAAGAGAUAAGUGCUGAAAGCAUCUAAGCACGAAACUUGCCCCGAGAUGAGUUCUCCCUGACUCCUUGAGAGUCCUGAAGGAACGUUGAAGACGACGACGUUGAUAGGCCGGGUGUGUAAGCGCAGCGAUGCGUUGAGCUAACCGGUACUAAUGAACCGUGAGG